RNAcentral lists this ribosomal RNA (1248 nucleotides) under human gut metagenome. RNAcentral describes it as "bacterial LSU rRNA". It matches the Rfam family "Bacterial large subunit ribosomal RNA", at positions 840 to 2108 of the family's 2925-position model. The record is from RNAcentral.
CGGAGAUAGCUGGUUCUCCUCGAAAUAGCUUUAGGGCUAGCCUCGUUUUAGUCUUAUGGAGGUAGAGCACUGAAUUUCCGCGGGGGCGUCAAAGCUUACCAAAGAAUAUCAAACUCCGAAUGCCAUUAAGAUGAUGAACGGGAGUCAGACUGUACGAGAUAAGUUGGACAGUCAAAAGGGAAAGAGCCCAGACCACCAGCUAAGGUCCCAAAGUGUGUGUUAAGUGGAAAAGGAUGUGGGGAUUCAAAGACAACUAGGAUGUUGGCUCAGAAGCAGCCAUUCAUUCAAAGAGUGCGUAACAGCUCACUAGUCGAGAGUCCCUGCGCCGAAAAUGUCCGGGGCUGAAACACAACACCGAAGCUGUGGAAUCAUACCUAGUAUGAUUGGUAGAGGAGCAUUCUUAAGACCGACGAAGCUGUACCGAUAAGGAGCAGUGGAGGGAUAAGAAGAGAGAAUGCCGGAAUGAGUAGCGAGAGGAAGGUGAGAAUCCUUCCGGCCGAAUAUCCAAGGAUUCCAGGGUAAAGCUGAUCUGCCCUGGGUAAGUCGGGACCUAAGGAGAGGCCGAGAGGCGUAUCCGAUGGACAACAGGUUUAGAUUCCUGUACCACAUAUGGUCAGAACUGUGGGGACGCAGAAGGAAAGCAUGAGCCAGGAAUGGAAAGACUGGUACAAGCAGAGGGGAUGGUGUGCUGGCAAAUCCGCACACGAAAGUCCUUGCUGUGAUGUGGAGCGAACCAAAGUAGCGAAGCAUGCAGACCGGCUGCCGAGAAAAGCCGCUAUUGUGCCAUAUGUGCCCGUACCGUAAACCGACACAGGUGGAUGAGGAGAGAAUCCUAAGGCCGACGGAAGAAGUAUUGUUAAGGAACUCGGCAAAAUGACCCCGUAACUUCGGGAGAAGGGGUGCCUGCGAGAGCAGGCCGCAGAGAAUAGGCUCAAGCAACUGUUUAGCAAAAACACAGGUCUAUGCAAAACCGAAAGGUGAAGUAUAUGGGCUGACGCCUGCCCGGUGCUGGAAGGUUAAGAGGAGAGGUUAGCGCAAGCGAAGCUUUGAAUUUAAGCCCCAGUAAACGGCGGCCGUAACUAUAACGGUCCUAAGGUAGCGAAAUUCCUUGUCGGGUAAGUUCCGACCCGCACGAAAGGCGUAAUGAUUUGAGCGCUGUCUCGACAAUGCAUCCGGUGAAAUUGAAGUACCAGUGAAGAUGCUGGUUACCCGCGCCAGGACGGAAAGACCCCAUGGAGCUUUACUCCA